GUUUGACAAACACCAAUUUUGAUCAUUGAGAAGCUUAAUAUUCCCUUUACAACACAACGUAAUUAAAACGUUAAGCUGAUUUUACAGAGUUAUCUCCCUGUAGUGUUAGGUACCACCUUAAAUGUCAAAAUGCCUACGUUGUUCAGCAAGAUGAUUGCUUGUGAUACCAGACGAAUGUCUAUUAAAAAUUUAUCAUAAAUGUACACACACUGUGCGGUUAUUUUCAAUUCAAUUAUCACAUGAAUCAAAUAAAUAGGGGAAAGAAGAAAACAAAUUGUGAUAUUACUUCAGAAUUUAUAUUGGUGUUUGGCAUUACGAAAAUCUGUAUACAUGAUUCAUAUUGAAAUUAGUAUUUCCUAAAUUCGUGCUAGUACAAAUAGCAAAAAUAACGUUGAAAUUGUUAACAUCUGUUUUUGUUGUCGACAAAAGUUAAUAACAGACGUAUCGUUCAAAUUCUUUAAGCGUUAAACAGUUUUAAAAUAAUUUAAAGUUUAUAAUGCGUUUCCCUCAGUUUUAGUUUGUUACCCCGAUUUUGUUUUUUGUCCAUAGAUUUAUUAGUUUUGAACAGCGGUAUACUACUGUUGCCUUUAUUCAUAUCUAUUUAUUAUUUUUUAUUGUUUAGUGUUGCCAAUAGCAAAGGGCUAUGUGCAUAAUAUCAGAUGCACUACUGACACCCUUGGUUAAAUUUGAUAAAAGUAUACAUUGCAAUCACUGUACCCGGGCGGCAAGAUUAAUUUGUUUAGAAAUAAAUCUUUAAAUAUAUGGAAACUCUCCUCAUGUGAAGGUGACUUGGGUGCACCAUUAACAUUAAGGCUAUCAUCUCUUAUCAAAAUCAACUUCAACAGAAGUUUACAUUCAAAGACAAACAUAGUAUAGGGGUAAAAAUAAAUACGAAAGGAAUUACAGAAUUGUGUACAGUCUACACCAGGUUAGUUGUGAUAGGCCACUAAGUAGCACUGCAUAUUUGAUUUAUAAGUGUUUCUUUUUCUUUAACACAUUAUUAAUGUAAAAUGUACUAGGCGUAAUCAUUUGAUAUAUUCUUGAAAAUUAAGUAUAAAAAACGCUUACAUCACCCUUAAAUAUUUGCUAAAUACAUAUGGCAACAGACUUUUGUUUUUAGAUAAUGAAAAUACAUAAGUUUAAAACAAAAUCGAAGUUGACAUCUGCUGACCCUUUCGUAUAGCAUUAAAUUUAGUGAUUCUGUUUUUAGGUUGAUUGUUUGGUAGUUUCACACGUCACAAACCGGUCGAAGAACUGCGUAGGCAAUUAUUCGCAAUAUCAUGUGCCGGUGUUAUAUAGCCAUUCUUCCCCCAUGCCAGUUUUUUACCCUGGGGAAAUUUUGGAUCAUUGCCAUUCUUCACCCGCGGAAAUUUGACAAUACGUAAACAUAUUAUCACUUUUCCCCCAUGCCAAUCUUUCCCCCAUAGAAUAGAUUUCACUAUAUCUAUAUCAGUCUGAAAAUUAAACCCAACAGAGUUGGAAUUAGAUUUUUAUGCUGACAACUAUUUUUUGUCAAUGUCGACAUGGUCAUCAGCCUGGCUAUGUGUGUGGCGAAGUCAAUAAAGUUAACUAUACUUGUCAAUUAGUAUUUAUUGCUUAAUUUACAAGUAUUCAAAGAGCGAUUAAAAGUUCAAAUAAAUGUUUUUCUGCUGAUUAAUGUAUGGAACACAAUUGUGUAACAUGUGUCCACUCGUCUGUCUGUAUUUUCCUGAGGGGGGGCAAGGGGUUUAACUGUUAUGCUGUUAUGGGGCAAUUUAAUUCUUUGUUAUCUGUUAUUUUGAAAAUAUAUUUGCUGUUAGCUGUUAUUGUCUUAUUCUUUGUUAGCUGUUAUUGGGCUUUUAGUUUUUUUGUUAUCUGUUAUUGUGAUAAUGUAUUUGCUGUUAACUGUGAUUGAAAAUUGGAAUGUUAGCAUUUUUUUUGACAGUCAAUAUUCGGUAUAAAUUGAAGAUCAUUGGCCAUUGGGGUCUACCACUACUAAUAUGUUUGUCCCGUAUUCAGAGAAGGAUUCCAUUAACAUAUACACAUCACAGAAGUGAGGUCCAGGACAAUUCAAGUAUAUCUUAUGAUUAUCCUUUGUAAUAAAUUCCAUUUUUUUUUAUGAAUGUGUAUUUAGAAUUAUCUUAAUUUUUUGUAUGAGAAUAAUGUUCCUUGUUUUCCGUACGAACAUAUUAAAUUAAAACAAUUCUUAAUAUGACAAAAAGGAAAACAUAUGGCCAGGAGUAUCUUACAAGGAUCUCAGUUAAGGACAAGGUCCUAACAACCACUUAACCUUUUAUAUUAUAUGGUACAUAGACUCAGCUCUGUGAUUCUUUUCAAAGCAGAACCAAAUGCAUUGUACAAUGAAAGUUCCAACCAUGUACUUGGGUCCGAAGCUGCACAUAACUCAUUACAAACAAAGAUUUAUUUCGUUUCAAGCCAUUGUUUCCCUUCUAAACUAUGUAUUCUACUUACUAGUACACUUGGUACAAUCAAAAACCUCAGCUGAUAAAAAAUUGUUCAAAUAAGGCCUUUGAAAAUAGUGGAAUAAAUUGCUUUUAGAGUGUCAAAAUUCGUUCGAAGUACUUGAUAAAUUGCAUGCUUAUAAUUGGUGCUUUUGAUUUUUCUACCCUAUAUACCACUUUUCCUCAUAGUUUUAUUAAUAAAAAUUCACACACCUCAUUAAAUGGUCAUUUAGAAAAAGUCAGAAACUCUUUUAGGUCACUUUUUUUAUUAGCAACAAAGGGAGCUUCAGUCAAUAUAUAUAAACAAUACACUAACGUUUCAUGAGAACUGCUGAAAACAUUUUUGUGUUAAUGUCUGAAAACUGGAAAAAUCACCCCUUUUUAAUUAAUAAAACCCGUUAACUCGGAAACGUAAAAUCUAAAAUUUAUAAAAAUUGAAAGUUACCUCGUGUUAAUAGAUAUAAAAAAUUCACCAAAAUUCCUUGCUUUGUGAAAGCAUUUUUGAGAUAUUAUCAGAAAACUGAAAAAAAAACACCAAUUUUAUUGAAUAAAAACCCAUUACCUACCCAGAAACUUAAAAUCUAAAAUUUAUAAAAAAAAACCAAAACCAAAAAGGGAGCUCACGUCAAUAGAUAUAAACAAUUUCCCAAAGUUUAAUUCAAAUGGUUAAAGUGUUUUUGAGUUAAUGUCCGACAGGUUGACAACAGACGGACAACAGUAUACCAUAAUACGUUCCGUAAACGAGCGUAUAUAAAAUAUUAUAAUAUAUUGAGUAGUAGUUUAAACACAUUCUAGACACAUAAAUUAAUACUAAAAACAUAGUCAUAAAAAAUGGAAUGCAUUACAAAGGAUUAUAUCCGUAAUAAGAAAUACUGAUUUGUCAAAAACCGAAUUAUUUUAAUAUUUCAUUUACUGUUAUCUGUUUUUGUCCAUUUUAAUUCCUUGUUAUCUGUUAUGAGCCAAAUCAAUUUGCUGUUUUGCUGUUAUUGGGACCCCCCUUGCCCCCCUCCUCUUUCCUCAGUGUUUUCUAGUAGUCAUCUAGUCGGUUUACAUUCUCAACAGGAUAUAUAUUCGCAAAUCUGUUUACAUGUUUACCAGUCUGUCUAUUUCCACUAGUCCGUCUACAUUUUCAUCGAUCUGUCUAUUUGUCUACUUGUCUGUCUGCAUGUUUAACAGUCGGACUUCAUAUUCACUGGUCCGUCUAUGUCUACUAUUAUGUCUACAGGUCCAUCAACCUGUCUCUGUGUUCACUAAUCUAUCUACAUGUUUACAAGUCAGUUUACGUUUCCAUCAGUACUACAUGUCAAUAUGUCUGUGUUCAUGUUCAUCAGUCCGUCUAUAUUUUUUUGCCGUCUGUAAUUGCAUUUUUUUUUGUAUUAUUUUGUAUGAUCAUCCGAAUCUUCAAUAUGCUGACAUUUAAAUGCAUUCUUUUGACCUGGCAACUUACAACUUACUUUUAUUAUUUUUAUUCUUUACAAGGUGUAUACUCCAUACUAAUACCAUAAUCCUUUGAACUGCCAGCUGAAGUUUUCAUUUGGGUUUAUUAUAAGCCAAGGAACAUUUUAUCCCCACAAAAAUGCACGUUGCACGUUUAGUUUUAAUGAUUUAGCUUCACAAAUUGUGACUUGGAUGGAGAGUUAUUUGUCUCAUCGGCACCCAUACCACAUCUUCUUAUUUCUAUUAUCAUUCUCGGGGUAGGGAGGGGUAGGAAGGGUCUUGAUUCCGAAAGUCCGGGCUUAAAAACACGAAAUCUUGAGGUCCCAAAUUUAAAUAAAUUUAAAUCCUGAUAUCCCGAAAUUCGAAAAAAGAAUUCCUGGAUCCCGAAAGAGUCAAUCUCGAAAUCCCGAGCUUAAAAACACCUGAAAUAAAUAAAUCAAAUGAAUAUUGAUACGAUGAGGGUUUGGUAGCGCUUAACUAAUAAAAAAGUUACUAUUAUUUUUUUUUUUUUUAAUAUUUAUAAAACUGACUUCGCGAACGUUAUAUUUCAAGGGGGAAAAAAUAGAUUCUCGUCCUAUAAGGAAGAAAAAUUGGUCUGGUCCUGUUUUUUCCCCAAUCUCACUGAGGGGGAAAAGUUAGAUCAUGCCAAUUUUUCCGGGGGGGAAAUUGGAUCGAUCCAGUUUUUCCCCCCGGAAAAAUUGGCAUGGGGGAAGAAUGGCUAUAGGACACCGGUAUAGUGUGCUGAAUGUGCUCCUUUGCACACUAACUUACUAUAAGAUAAUGUUCAUAAGAAAAGCGUGCACACAUAUACAUGUACAAAUAUUCGUGUCUUUAAUUUAGAUUCUUAUUAUCACAAAAGACAUCUAAAAUGACUCUCAUAAAUUGUAAAAUUAUAUAAAUGCAUUUGACAUACUUUUUUGUUUUAUAUGAAUAUUAUAACUUGAGUGUCCAUGUGUCUUAUUUAAAACAGAGAUAACAAAUUUGGGUUUUAAACUAUAUGUAUGUAUAUUAUAUAUGUCAAAUACACUAUAUCGAUCUACAAUAUGUUUUCAUUUGAUCAGUGUUAUUUAAAUGCGCAUAUACAGACAUUUGUUUUACGGGUGAAUAAACUAUAGGAAACGUAUAUGUAAACAAUUUAGGGUUUACCAAUAAUUUGGUGUAUUUAAAUAGUGUGGACUAAUAAAAUGACCAUAACAACUUUUUGUCUAUCAUUCAGGACAUAAACCAUGAAAAGUAAGUUGCAAAAGAAGUCGAUAUUAUUACAAACAUAUAUAUAUAUAUUAAAUUAGCAUUGACUCAUACCGAACAGCAAGGUACAAAGAGCCUCAAAUAUGACUUAUUUGAACAGGUCUUAUCUAUAUUUAUAUCAAGAAACACUGUGAACUACUGGACGGGUUCCUGACUUAUGACAUGUGCAAACAAAUACAGCAGGCUUAAACGUUUAAACAGGCGCCAACCCUCACCCUAACCUGAAACAGUGGUAUAACAUUGCAACAUAGAACACAUUUAAUGUACAUUUUUAAGUACAUCAUGUUUACUUCAUCGCUGAACCCGGUAGUUAAAUUGAUCAAUUAAUUUGAAGAAAAGUCGUAGGGUUCUAAGAAUGAUAUCAAGAAUAGUACACUGACCAAGUGAUUGAUUCACCUAAGCAAAAUAUUUUUAUUCGAGGCAGCAAACAUCAGGUUGGAAAUAACCACUUACCAAAGUACUGAAGUACUGAACAUCGAAUGUGGAUGGUCCGACAAGUACUUGUCUCAGAAAAAAAUCACAUCUCUCUCUAUAUCUGAAAGUGAGGUUAAUUUUCUGAUAUAAUUUGUUUCUGGGACAAGUUCGUGCGUAGAUGAUACAUGUAAAUUGAUUACAGGGAAUUCAUCCUCACCGUUAUGACUAUUAUAUUGUAGUGAUAUAAAUCAGUAUACUUUGGUUUAUUGUAAUAUAUCAUAUUUAUACUUGUAUAUUACAGUUACAUAAAUUAUAUAUACUAGAACACACCCGCGAAAUCGCGGGCAUUCAGAGCGUAGUUUAAAGUAUGUAAAGUGUUGUUGGAAGAAUUUUGUUAAAUAUUGAAUGACCACACCCGCGAAAUCGCGAGCACUGAUUUAGAGCGUUGUUUAAAGUAUGUAAAGUGUUGAUGGAAGAAUUUUGUAAAAUAUUGAAUGACCACACCCGCGAAAUCGCGGGCAUUCAGACCGUAGUUUAAAGUAUGUAAAGUGUUGUUGGAGGAAUUUUGUAAAAUAUUGAAUGACCACACCCGCGAAAUCGCGGGCAUUCAGAGCGUAGUUUAAAGUAUGUAAAGUGUUGUUGGAAAAAUUUUGUAAAAUAUUGAAUGACUGGAGAAUUUCAGCAAAAGUAUCAUAAGUCAUAGUUUAUUGGGGACAGGAAAAUGCUUUUUUUUAUCCCUCCUCCUUUAUUUCGAAAAUUUCCAAUUUUUGGUUUUCUAUCAAUUUCAAUAUGAACAUACAUUUAGUAUGUUAUGAACAUUUAAGUAAGGAGCCUGUAAUUCAGUGGUUGUCGUUUGUUUAUGUGUUACAUAUUUGUUUUUGUUCAUUUUUUGUACAUAAAUAAGGCCGCUAGUUUUCUGGUUUUGAAUUGUUUUACAUUGUCAGUUCGUGGCCUUUUAAAGCUGAGUAUGCGGUAUGGGCUUUGCUCGUUGUUGAAGGUCGUACGAUGACCUGUAUAGUUGUUAAUUUCUGUGUCAUAUUGGUCUCUUGUGGAGAGUUGUCUCAACAUGGCAAUCAUACCACAUCUUCUUUUUUUUGUAAAAGAUUUAAUGACUGGAGAAUUUCAGAAAAGGUAUCAAAAGUUCACAUGAAUAUUUUUAGCGCUUAUCUGUAUAUUGUGAACAUUCAUUACUAUAUAAGGCAGCAACCAUUUGAUUUUCUGGGGGGGGGGGGGCUAUGGAUUUUUUUUUCUGAACAAUCUAUUUUUUUGGCGACAAGUCGAAAACAAUUUUUUUCUUUCAAUUUUAGCAUAACAUAUAGUGGCAGCUGAGGGUGAAACAAAAAAUUUUUUUUUCUCAAAACUGGAAACAAACUUGUUUUUCCAAAAAAAUCCAUAGCCCCCCCCCCCCCCCCUUCCAGAAAAUCAAAUGGUUGCUGCCUAAAUAUAGUGUAUUUACUUUCAAUUCUAAGUUUACUAAUCGAUCCAUGGUGGUCAUUGAUAUAGUAUACAGACCCUCUCUUUUUAAUAAACUUUGUGACCGCCGUGGAUAGUAAACUUGAAAAUGAUAGCAGAUAGAAUUCUGAAAAUACACUUUAUUUUUUGUAUAGUAUACAGAAAAACGCAAACCGGAAGUCUAAUCUGACUUAAAAUUUUGUCCAAUGACGGGACAAUAUCCGGAUGCCUUUUUUCUCGUUUUUCUCCCAAAAUAACUCAAUCUGAAUAAUCAUAUAAAUGGAUGACAAAUGCGACUAUGCACUGUACCUAUACGACACAGAGGCGUGUUGAUUAAUUUAUAGUGGAAAGACAGGUGCUUUUAAUGUUAAUCGACGACCAGUUUUCCUACCGAAGGUCGGUGGUUCAGUUCUGUUUUCUCUUGGCACUCUUUCUUCCUCAGUCAUAAAAACUAGUCUCCACGAAAUGAUAAACAGCUGCAAGUAAUCAAUCGAAGUUCAAUUAAAAAUAUCUGUCAUUAAAAAAAUAGAUUUUUUAUAUAUAGAUUUUCAUCUUGAUUUCUAAGUUAAUGUAAAGUUCAAUUUAAUGCGACUGUAACCCAGAUUUAAGCCACCAUUUUCUGCAUAGGAAAUUGCCUGUAUCAAGGUCAGGAAUAUGACAGUUGUGUCAUUCGUUUGAUGUGUUGGAGCUUUUUGUUUUGCCAUUUGGUUAUGGACUUUCCGUUUUGAAUUUUUUUAAUUAAACGUCAACAAAGGUUACUUUUUUCAAUUGACUUGUUCGAUGGCGUGUAUUGUCCGAUGACAGGUGUUGCACUUAAAGACAGGACUAUAUAUUUGGUAAGAUUGCUUUGAAGAUAGUAGGGAAGAAAAUUUUUUUGUAGUUGCGAGUCAGUAUCUUAUUAGACUAUUUUUAAAAACAAAUUAUUUGGUAUCAAUUUUAAGUACUUUAAAUACAAUAUUAAGGGUAGAAAACCAGUAUUUUGAGUGUUCUUAAGAUAAUUCUUGAUCUUCAGUAAUUACCAUAUUCUAUCACUAUUUAUUUUUAAGUACUCUCAUUUAACAAUUAUCCAAUAAACAUAAUGAGAAAAUCAAAAAUGACCUAUUGACACAUAAAGCACACCCCAAUAAAUAUUGGGAGUGUACAAGUGUAAUUCAAAGUGUAAGAGUUUCACAUCUAUUAGGAGUAAAAGAUUCCAAAAAAGACAAACAACAGAAUGCAAAACUAAACACGAUCCCCACCCAAAACCGGGGAUGGUCUAUGAAGGCUUGGGGAGGGUAAGCAAAUAAUAGAUGUUCACCCAGAUCUUCUUUUAUUCAUUUAACCUAGCACAUGGCUUGAGAGUUCAAUCAUUGUCGCGUAAAACAAAAUUGCAACAUUCAUCUGUUGAAGGUAAUAGCUUUGUUAUGGGGUUAUUCCCUUAUUUCUCAUUUCAUUAUACGGGGUCGAAAUUAGACUAAUAAAAAUCUGAAUCAGUCCAAAUAAUCUUUACGUGAUAUCAUUGUUGACAGCUACGACUUGGUGCAAUCUAGACUUACCUUUGCGUGUCGUUGUUUUACGUGCUAGUUUCUAAAAAAAAAUCUACAAUAUAUAAUGUGUCGGGUAAACUUCAAAAGUAUUUUUUUUCGGUUAUUCUGUCUAUUUGGAUGGUGAAGAAAUAUGGUCACGACAGGUCUUCUACAGACAGGCAGUCAAACCCUUGCCAAUGUGGGGAGUCUGUUUGGUUGUUUGGGAUGUACCAACUACGCAGUCGCAUAGGGUCGUAAUGGCUCGUGAAGAGACAGUUUCACGCUAUCUGCACGUUAAGAGUCAUUGUAACAGCUCUCUGAGGGACCCAUAGGUGUCAUGUUGGAAGGCUGGUCGAAUUUGUGCCCCUAUCCAAUAUACGCUCAUUUUCCCGUGGCAGUCCAAAUUUUACCGACCUGCAACCCAGUUGACUUGUAAGCCCAGAUUUACCUAUUGUACUUACUCACUUUUAAUUUUAUUGAUAAUUUCUACUCGUCCUAAAUAUGCAUGAAAUAAUUAAACAACCAAUUACAACCAAUUCAUGCAUCCUGUCAUUUUGGACAUCGUUUUUUAAUUAUCUGUGCUCUUUAUGUGGCCUCCAUUUAUGAGACAUGCGCGUGCAAUCGUCUAUGCACAGUAAAUAUAUGCUUUACACUGCAUUAAUAUUAUUUUAUUAUUAUUUAGGACAAUAAAAGAUUAAAAUUAAAGACAAGAUUUUGAGUCAAUUUCCAACAUGGCCGUAGGUAAGUCUGUUGCAAUCAGUCUAAUGAAACUCAAAAUAUACCUCCAAUGUUAGAAUCUAGUACAAAUGUACCUACCCUAUUUUACAAUGAAAUACAUUUUUAAAAAUUGAAAGUUUGCAUUUCUUUGCUUUUACAACAACAGACAACUGAUACUAUUGUCGAAUGUUAAAAAGGCUUGUAAUGAAAUUUAUCACGCAAACGGCUUAACAAAAUUUCGUGACUGUCGUAAAUGAAGAGGAAUAUAGUACUUAGUGUUUUUCUUGUCAUUCAAUUUCUAAUUUUGCGAAGAACUGAUAUAUAGUGAUCAUGAUGAUGAUAUAACAGAAAGACACAUUAUAUUUCAGCACUAUAUUAGUUAGAUUAAUGAAUUUUACUCUUAAAAUAAAAAAAAAACAACUGGUAAAUAUUUAUCAAAUAUUUUACCAAAUUCUAAAUAAAACAGUAUAUCUUAAUUCUGAUGUAUAUACGAAUGCUUUAAAAGGCGUCGAUUAAACCGAUCCUUACCAAUGCUUCACUGAAAACAAUUCUUACCAAUGCAUCANNNNNNNNNNNNNNNNNNNNNNNNNNNNNNNNNNNNNNNNNNNNNNNNNNNNNNNNNNNNNNNNNNNNNNNNNNNNNNNNNNNNNNNNNNNNNNNNNNNNNNNNNNNNNNNNNNNNNNNNNNNNNNNNNNNNNNNNNNNNNNNNNNNNNNNNNNNNNNNNNNNNNNNNNNNNNNNNNNNNNNNNNNNNNNNNNNNNNNNNNNNNNNNNNNNNNNNNNNNNNNNNNNNNNNNNNNNNNNNNNNNNNNNNNNNNNNNNNNNNNNNNNNNNNNNNNNNNNNNNNNNNNNNNNNNNNNNNNNNNNNNNNNNNNNNNNNNNNNNNNNNNNNNNNNNNNNNNNNNNNNNNNNNNNNNNNNNNNNNNNNNNNNNNNNNNNNNNNNNNNNNNNNNNNNNNNNNNNNNNNNNNNNNNNNNNNNNNNNNNNNNNNNNNNNNNNNNNNNNNNNNNNNNNNNNNNNNNNNNNNNNNNNNNNNNNNNNNNNNNNNNNNNNNNNNNNNNNNNNNNNNNNNNNNNNNNNNNNNNNNNNNNNNNNNNNNNNNNNNNNNNNNNNNNNNNNNNNNNNNNNNNNNNNNNNNNNNNNNNNNNNNNNNNNNNNNNNNNNNNNNNNNNNNNNNNNNNNNNNNNNNNNNNNNNNNNNNNNNNNNNNNNNNNNNNNNNNNNNNNNNNNNNNNNNNNNNNNNNNNNNNNNNNNNNNNNNNNNNNNNNNNNNNNNNNNNNNNNNNNNNNNNNNNNNNNNNNNNNNNNNNNNNNNNNNNNNNNNNNNNNNNNNNNNNNNNNNNNNNNNNNNNNNNNNNNNNNNNNNNNNNNNNNNNNNNNNNNNNNNNNNNNNNNNNNNNNNNNNNNNNNNNNNNNNNNNNNNNNNNNNNNNNNNNNNNNNNNNNNNNNNNNNNNNNNNNNNNNNNNNNNNNNNNNNNNNNNNNNNNNNNNNNNNNNNNNNNNNNNNNNNNNNNNNNNNNNNNNNNNNNNNNNNNNNNNNNNNNNNNNNNNNNNNNNNNNNNNNNNNUGGGUUGCAAUGAAAGAGUUUUUGUAAUCCAUUAAUUGGGAACUUAAGUACCAAAAACAAGGUUAUUUUAUACAAUUUAUCAGAUUAAAAAUUUAGCAGUCAGAAAACUUCAAUUCCGUCUGUUGUUCCCCAUUGCUUUUAAUAGAAAAUAAUUUUUUGCUAUUGAGAAAUUUAGCAAUAUCUAAAAAUCUUGUCAACAUUGAAAGUACCGAACAAAAAAUUAACCAGUUCCACAAGCAAAAGAAGUUUUGACCCAGUCCAUCACCUUGUAAAAACUGUAUAAAUCUUUCUAAAUCAGUUAUCUGUGUAGAUAACUGCUGAAUCAGCUUUUCUUUAACCUUGCCUGGGUUAACUAUCUGUAAAAGAAAGAAAAUUCAUAAAAUUACUACAUGUAGAUAAAUUUUACCGGUUUUCAUGUACUGUGAAUUCAGAAAUUAUUGUGCAUUUAUUUUUGCCAUUUUGUCAUUUUUGACUAAAGUGAGAUUUCAAUUUUUGCGAUAUAGAGGAAAAUUCCUGUUUAAUUCAUAUAAACAAAAUCAAAAUGCAAGUUUUAAAUAUUUAGUGGCCAAUUAUAACCUAAGAUUUUAUUUUUUAUCGUAUAAUUAAUUUGAUUACUCACCAAAAUCUUUGGUGUUUUUAAUGAAAUUUUGACCUGGUAAUGCUUUUAAUUCCUUAGUUGAGGGAUUUUCCUUCCCAACUUAGAAAUAACAUAGUUGCUAUUUUUCUGAAUUAUCUUAUCAUAUUUUCUUAUUUUAUCACACUAACAAUUAAUAACCCAUCAAAUAAUGUAAGCAGCCAUGCAUUUAAUAUUAAUUUGCUUAAAAUUAGAAUUACUGGAUCUGAAUUUUUAAGGAGAAUUAUUUCGAAUGAUUUUUGGAAAGGUUACUUGUUUUGUUUGGAAUCAUAGAUUUACUAUUACAAGUAAGCUCUGAGCAUAGUUGAAGUAUGCUUGGAGCUUUAUAAGUAGGCUCUCUUCAGUAGUUCAUAUGACAAUAGUUAUCAUGAUCUAUUAGGAUGUCUGUCAGAGCUUUAGCAUUUCUCAUGUUUCUAUACAAAGCUAGAAAAGUACUACUCAGAAGAGUCUUCUUAAAAAGCUCUGAGCAUCCUAGGGUUAUUGCCCUUUAAUGACAAGUCAUCCCCAUUAGAAUUUUUUUAACAGAAACUAUAGUAAACAGAGAAAAACUGUGACUAGCAAAAAUAUAAACAAAAUUAGAUCUAAAAAUAGAUUAAAGACUCCACAUUCGAAUACGUCUGGAAUAGCUUUGAAUUUUGUCAUUGCCAACUGUCCAUUGUAAGAUUUGAUCUAUAUGAUCCCUUGUGGCAACCUUUUAGAGUUCACAUACCAUUAAUGUUCUUUCAUAGUGAUGCAGCACAUGCAAAACUUACAAUAUUUUUGUACAAAUUCUAAAAUGAAUUUAAAGUGAGGAGAGCAGCGUGUCUGUCCAUGGUGGACAGGUGAACAUGUCAAAAUCUGUGUGUUUAUAGUGGACAGGUGGUAAUUGCUUAAUCCAUGAGAGUUGUUGUGUACCUUCAAGUGGAACACAUUAAUGACAAUUAUAAUUUCAGCCAUCUUAAAAUGAAAUUAUCUCUGUUUUGAUUUAGUUUUAUAUUCUUUUUUAACAUUUAUACGCUUCAUCCAAAACCUGCUUUUAUCAUAUACAUAUAUAUACUUAGUGCUCCCUUUGUCACCUUCAAGUUUAGCAAUACUAAUAAAAAAAAUAUAUAUAACAGUGGCGGAUCCAGGGGGGGGUUCAAGGGUUGGAACCCCCCUUUUUUUUGGCCGAUCAAUGCAUUUGAAUGGGAGCAUAUAGUUGAAACCCCCCCCCCCCCUUUACUCUGGGUUGGGAACCCCCCUUUUUAAAAUGGCUGGAUCCGCCACUGAUAAUAGAUAGAUCUAACAAGAACAAUCAAAUAUAUGAUAUUUUUCAACCAUAAGCUGUUUCUGAAUUGAUUGCAUGGGGGUAGAAAGGUACUUCUAUCCAAUUUAGAUGAGUUACAAUUAUUUUAAUUAAAUUUAUUAAUUUGAUUUAAUACAUAUGCACGUGCUAGGAGCUGUCUGAAAGUUGCAGUGAGGUGAGAGGUUUUGUUUUGCACCCUGUUGAAGAAGUUGCAGUGAGGUGAGAGGUUUUGUUUUGCACCCUGUUGAAGGCCUCAUUGUGACUUUGAGAUGAAGAACAGCAAUAAAAGAGUUGUUUUACUUUGUGUGUGUUCUUUGCUCUGCAUGUACUGAUUUUGUGUUAUGUAUGAAAACCCCAUAUAACCUUUGUUUUAUAUUUAUAAAUAUGACAGUUUGUAAAAAGGACCCAACUCAUCUUUGAUCUUAGAAUGACCAAAAUUGUGAGAGAAAAAAAACAUACAGUGUAUAUCCUUGCAGCUUAUACUACUUGGUAAUGUAUUCAUGAGCUGAAAAGUUGGUAUGAGUAAUGGUAUGCUCAUGAUCAAGGUUGGGAACUCACAACCUUGAGUGUUGACUCACUAAUAAUAUAAUAGAUGAACUUCUUAGACCACUUGUCACACAAGGCUUCUUACUUACUUGAAGUGCAUUCUGCAUAUAUGAUCAUUUCUAAAACUGUAUAUUUUGUUAUUUUUAGUGUAUUUCAUUUUUGAAGAACAUAAAAUGUCUUUUUCAGGGGAGGCAACAAGUCCUGGGCCUUUAGGAAAGGAGAGAUGCACAUGUACAGUUCAUAAGGUUUGUCAGAUUUAAAUUUGUCAAUAAAUUUUGUCCCUAGUGUUUUGCCAAGUAAUUAAUUUUUAAAGAGUUAUGCCUCUUGGAAAUAUACAUUGUUAGCACAUGGUUAAUGCUUGCCUUUUAUGAAACAUAUAUCAUAGGUUCACAUCUGACACCAUAAUGUCUCAGAAAGUUAAAAAAAUAAUCAAUUUUAAUAGAGUUAUGUCCCUUGGAAACAUUAAUUAUAGUGGAAAUUACAUUACAUUUGCUCUCAAACCUUCAUUUCUUCAAGAUAUUUAUGAUAUAAAAAGAUUGUUUUAAAGUUAUUGCACUGGCACUUCUAUUAAAUUACCGACGUGUAACGUUUAACUGUAAUGUAAUUUUUUUAAUGAAAAAUAAAAAAAAAUUGGCAAAAAAUAAUUUAUAGCUUUAAAAAAAAAGGCCAGAAGUGUCAUGAUUUUUAAGGAAUUUGAAAAUAGAGGAAGGGAAGGUUGUUAUAAACCAUUUAUAAAUUGUAUAAACCUUAAAAUUGAGAAUGGAAAUGGGGAAUGUGUCAAAGAGACAACAACCCGACCAAAUAAAAAACAACAGCAGAGGGUCACCAACAGGUCUUCAAUGUAGCGAGAAAUUCCCGCACCCGGAGGCGUCCUUCAGCUGGCCCCUAAACAAAUAUAUACUAGUCCAGUGAUAAUGAACGCCAUACUAAUUUCCAAAUUGUACACAAGAAACUAAAAUUAAAAUAAUACAAGACUAACAAAGACCAGAGGCUCCUGACUUGGGACAGGCGCAAAAAUGCGGCGGGGUUAAACAUGUUUGUGAGAUCUCAACCCUCCUCCUAUACCUCUAACCAAUGUAGAAAAGUAAACGUAUAAUGUAUUUUCUUUUAGUUUCCUUCUGGUGAUUGUUCAGAUACCUCUUCAAAAGAUUGUAAAGUACGAGACAGAAAUACAAACAAGCACAAUAAAAAGGUAAAUAUACAAUAAAUCAGGAGACUGUAUAGAUUCAUAGAGGGCCAUAGCUGGAUUAGACACAACUUUUCAUAACUUUUGGUGUUUAACACUAUUUAAAUUCUUCGUUUUGUAUUUCAUGAAUCUUGACACAAUUUUUUUUUUUUUUAAAUAGAUACUUGUUUUUUCCAAAUAUUUCCUGCUUACAAUUUCCUCAGUUGCCCAGGAUACGAUUUUAAAUAAUUCUUUCUUUGUACAGUUGAUACUCAAUGUUAAUUAUUUCAUAAUAUUCAUUUCUCUGAUUCUUAGCAGAUUUAUUCUCUUCAUGACCUGUUGAUAAUGUUUGUUAAUAAACAUGUGGUCUGUUUGAUUUGACUUCAACGUUUGCUUGCUUUCCUCUGCAUUUCCUGUUGCGACCAAAUCUUGUACAUUACGAUAUUUCUUCACUCGAGUGUUAAACUUUAAAUAUUUUUAAAAACACUUGGCAAGCCUUGGUUUUAAUUUUGAAAAUUCAGCAGUCUCCAGUAGAGAAACAGUGUAUAAGGCUUGAUAUAGUGGUAGAAUCUAUAUUUAUACAUAUGCAUGUAUAUGCAACUCUUUAAAUGUAUCUAAUUUCUACAGAAUGUGAAAGAAACAAAAGCAUUUAUAAAGAAGAGUAUCGAGUUACUACAGAUGUUCCUCAUUAGUCAGUUUGGAUGUGGUGGGAGGGACUUCCAGAGAAACUUACUGAAGAAAACAACAAAAGGCAAUCAUUGGGGGUAGGUAUUUAGUCAGUUUGGAUGUGGUGGGAGGGAAUUCCAGAGAAACUUACUGAAGAAAACAACAAAAGGCAAUCCUUGGGGGUAGGUAUUUAGUCAGUUUGGAUGUGGUGGGAGGGACUUCCAGAGAACUUACUGAAGAAAAACAACAAAAGGCAAUCAUUGGGGUAGGUAUUUAGUCAGUUUGGAUGUGUGGGGGGACUUCCAAAGAAACUUACUGAAGAAAACAACAAAAGGCAAUCAUUGGGGUAGGUAUUUAGUCAGUUUGGAUGUGGUGGGAGGGACUUCCAGAGAAACUUACUGAAGAAAACAACAAAAGGCAUCAUGUGGGGUAGGUAUUUAGUCAGUUUGGAUGUGGUGGGAGGGACUUCCAGAGAAACUUACUGAAGAAAACAACAAAAGGCAAUCAUUGGGGUAGGUAUUUAGUCAGUUUUGGAUGUGGUGGAGGGACUUCCAAGAAACUUACUGAAGAAAACAACAAAAGGCAAUCAUUGGGGGUAGGUAUUUAGUCAGUUGAUGUGGUGGAGGGACUUCCAGAGAAACUUACUGAAGAAAACAACAAAAGGCAAUCAUUGGGGGUAGGUAUUUAGUCAGUUUGGAUGUGGUGGGAGGGACUUCCAGAGAAACUUACUGAAGAAAACAACAAAAGGCAAUCAUUGGGGGUAGGUAUUUAGUCAGUUUGGAUGUGGUGGGAGGGACUUCCAGAGAAAACUUACUGAAGAAAACAACAAAAGGCAAUCAUUGGGGGUAGGUAUUUAGUCAGUUUGGAUGUGGUGGGAGGGACUUCCAGAGAAACUAACUGAAGAAAAACAACAAAAGGCAAUCAUUGGGGGUAGGUAUUUAGUCAGUUUGGAUGUGGUGGGAGGGACUUCCAGAGAAACUUACUGAAGAAAACAACAAAAAGGCAAUCAUUGGGGUAGGUAUUUAGUCAGUUUGGAUGUGGUGGGAGGGACUUCCAGAGAAACUUACUGAAGAAAACAACAAAAGCAAUCAUUGGGGUAAGUAUUUAGUCAGUUUGGAUGUGGUGGGAGGACUUCCAGGGAAACUUACUGAAGAAAACUGAAGAAAACAACAAAAGGCAAUCAUUGGGGGUAGGUAUUUAGUCAGUUUGGAUGUGGUGGAGGGACUUCCAGAGAAACUUACUGAAGAAAACAACAAAAACAUUGGGAAGAGAAAACAGGUAUCAAAAGGCAAUCAUUGGGGUAGGUAUUUAGUCAGUUUGGAUGUAGGUGGGAGGACUUCCAGAGAAACUUACUGAAGAAAACAACAAAAGGCAAUCAUUGGGGUAGGUAUUUAGUCAGUUUGGAUGUGGUGGGAGGGACUUCCAGAGAAACUUACUGAAGAAAACAACAAAAGGCAAUCAUUGGGGGGUAUUUAGUCAGUUUGGAUUGGUGGGAGGACUUCCAGAGAAACUUACUGAAGAAAACAACAAAAGGCAAUCAUUUGGGGGUAGGUAUUAGUCAGUUUGGAUGUGGUGGGAGGGACUUCCAGAGAAACUUACUGAAGAAAACAACAAAAGGCAAUCAUUGGGGUAGGUAUUUAGUCAGUUUGGAUGUGGUGGGAGGGACUUCCAGAGAAACUUACUGAAGAAAACAACAAAAGGCAAUCAUUGGGGGUAGUAUUUAGUCAGUUUGGAUAGUGGUGGGAGGACUUCCAGAGAAAACUUACUGAAGAAAAACAACAAAAGGCAAUCAUUGGGGUAGGUAUUUAGUCAGUUUGGAUGUGGUGGGAGGGACUUCCAGAGAAACUUACUGAAGAAAACAACAAAAGGCAAUCAUUGGGGGUAGGUAUUUAGUCAGUUUGGAUGUGGUGGGAGGGACUUCCAGAGAAACUUACUGAAGAAAACAACAAAAGGCAAUCAUUAGGGGUGUAGGUAUUUAGUCAGUUUGGAUGUGGUGGAGGGACUUCCAGAGAAACUUACUGAAGAAAACAACAAAAGGCAAUCAUUGGGGGUAGGUAUUUAGUCAGUUUGGAUGUGGUGGGAGGGACUUCCAGAGAAACUUACUGAAGAAAACAACAAAAGGCUAAUCAAUCAUUGGGGUAGGUAUUUAGUCAGUUUGGAUGUGGUGGGAGGGACUUCCAGAGAAACUUACUGAAGAAAACAACAAAAGGCAAUCAUUGGGGGUAGGUAUUUAAGUCAGUUUGGAUGUGGUGGAGGGACUUCCAGAGAAACUUACUGAAGAAAACAACAAAAGGCAAUCAUUGGGGUAGGUAUUUAGUCAGUUUGGAUGUGGUGGGAGGGACUUCCAGAGAAAACUUACUGAAGAAAACAAACAAAGGCAAUCAUUGGGGUAGGUAUUUAGUCAGUUUGGAUGUAGUGGAGAGGACUUCCAGAGAAACUUACUGAAGAAACAACAAAAGGAUCAUUGGGGGUAGGUAUUUUAGUCAGUAUUGGAUGGGUUGGGGGACUUCAGAGAAACUUACUGAAGAAAACAACAAAAGGCAAUCAUUGGGGUAGGUAUUUAGUCAGUUUGGAUGUGUGGAGGGACUUCCAGAGAAACUUACUGAAGAAAAACAAAAAAGGCAAUCAUUGGGGUAGGUAUUAGUCAGUUUGGAUGUGGUGGGAGGGACUUCCAGAGAAACUUACUGAAGAAAACAACAAAAGGCAAUCAUUGGGGGUAGGUAUUUAGUCAGUUUGGAUGUGGUGGGAGGGACUUCCAGAGAAACUUACUGAAGAAAACAACAAAAGGCAAUCAUUGGGGUAGGUAUUUAGUCAGUUUGGAUGUGGUGGGAGGACUUCCAGAGAAACUUACUGAAGAAAACAACAACAAAGGCAAUCAUUGGGGGUAGUAUUUAGUCAUUUGGAUGUGGUGGGAGGGACUAUCCAGAGAAACUUACUGAAGAAAACAACAAAAGGCAAUCAUUGGGGGGUAGUUUUAGUCAGUUUGGAUGUGGUGGGAGGGACUUUCCAGAGAAACUUACUGAAGAAAACAACAAAAAGGUCAAUCAAUUGGGGGUAGGUAUUUUAGUCAGUUUGGAUGUGGUGGGAGGGACUUCCAGAGAAACUUACUGAAGAGAAAACAACAAAAGUCAAUCAUUGGGGGUAGGUAUUUAGUCAGUUUGGAUGUGGUGGGAGGACUUCCAGAGAAACUUACUGAAGAAAACAACAAAAGGCAAUCAUUGGGGGUAGGUAUUAAAGGAAGUAAACACAAAAAUCCACUCGAAAUCCACUCAAAUCCUCUCUAAAUCCACUCGAAAUCUCUCAAAGGAUCUAUAAUAUGUAGAUAUAUAAAAAUGUUUAUUGUCGAGCCUUCGACUUUAGUCGAAAAAGUGAGACAUAUCGAUCUUACAUUCCGUCAGUGGCGGCGUCCACAAAUAUUCUCUCUGUGGUUAAAGUUUUUGAAAUUUUAAUAACUUUCUUAACUAUCCUUGAAUUGUACGAAACUUGGACAGAAGCUUGUUUAUGUUCAUAAGAUAGUAUCCAGAAGUAAAUUUUGUAAAAAAAAAUUCCAUUUUUUUCCGUAUUUUCUUAUAAUGGACUUAGUUUUUCUGCCCAGGAAACAUUACAUUCACUCUGUGGUUAAAGUUUUUAAAAUUUUAAUAACUUUCUUAAACUAUCCUGGAAAUAUACAGAACUUGGCCAGAAGCUUUUUUAUGAUCAGGAGAUAGUAUCCAGAAGUAAAUUUUGUAAAAAAAAAAUUCCAUUUUUUCCGUAUUUUACUUAUAAAUGGACUUAGUUUUUUCUGCCAGGAAACAUUACAUUCACUCUGUGGUUAAAGUUUUUAAAAUUUUAAUAACUUUCUUAAACUAUCCUGGAAUUGUACAGAACUUGGCCAGAAGCUUGUUUAUGAUCAGAAGAUAGUAUUCAGAAGUAAAUUUUGUAAAAAAAAAAUCCAUUUUUCCUGUAUUUUACUUAUAAAUGGACUUAGUUUUUCUUCCAGUUAACAUUACAUACAGUCUGCAGUUAAAGUAUUUAAAACAUUUUUAAGAUUCUUAAACUAGCCUGGAUUUUUACCAAACUUGGACAGAAGCUUCUGACAAUCAAAAGAUAGUAAUGAAAGGAAUUAAUUUAUUGAUUUUUUUCAUCAUUUUUGAUGAGUGUGUGAUAAACAGCAAAAGUAGGCGAGACACUGGGUUCCGCGGAACCUUUGCAAAUUUUUUUUACUGAUAAGGUUUGUAAUAGAUGAAAAAAAAUAAUUUGUAGAUUAUGAUUUAAAACUCCUCGUGUAAGAGCCAACUUGAGUUAUUGAUUAGGAAAACAAAUGUUUAAAGAAUAUGUAUGAGUAAACUUGUAACCAAGUCAAUACUUCUUAAUUAAGCAUUAUGAAAAAAAUAUACGGAAUAGAAAAAUAUCGACUUGAUUUUAGCUUGAUGUUUCUAUUUGUAGAGACUUACGAGCUAGGUUAGAGGUUGCUAUAAACAAAGUAUUAGAGGCAGCCGUAGAGGAGGAAAAAAAUCAGGAGAAAGACGACAGGUUCAGUGAAUAUGGCAGCGAUUCAGAGGAGGCAAGAAUGAAUAAACUGACCUCUAAUUAUAAAUUAUCAUUGGUCAUCUCAACUAGAUUGAUUUUCUCGCUAGACUGGGCACAGCAAGAGUGAUAAGAGCAUUUGAGUUGCAAUGACCAAGGAUAAUCUGUUAUUUGGCUAUUUUACCUAUGGCGAUGUUAAUUUCAUUGGCAACGGGCAUGUGCACCCAUAGUUUCUAUCGAUAAUUUGUCAUAUCACUCGACUGUGCUGAGAAUGGAAAUUAUCAGUCUGAAGAUUUUGUAAACGUAUUGAAUUAGUAAAAUAAUAUUUUAUCCCUUUUUAUGUAUAGCUUAAUGUGAAGUAUAAAUUUGCAGAAAAAAUUGUUUGUAAAUACUUCACAUCCACUGCACAAAACAUUUAAAUGAAUAUAAAAUUUUUACAAAAUGAUCUUUGAAGCAAAUUGUGAAAUGUUAACCAGUAUACAUUUAUUUCUGGAAUAACCCUUAUAUCAGUUAGCUUAUUUAUCUUGUUUAUUUUACUAACCGUGCAAGGGCUGUAUAGUCAGACAAGGUCAUUAAAAACUUUCAUUUGUUGUUUUUUAUUGUACAGAGUCAAGAACAAAGCAGUGCUUUGCUUACCCAGACUGUGAGAAGAGAUCUUUCAAUGGCCAUUAGAGAUUUGAUUGAACAUGGACUUAUGGAGGUAUGUCACAGGUUAUUCUUGGUAAAGAAGGGUAGGGGCCUUGGUAGCUGAAGGGUCUAAAUAGUUACUACUGUAAUCACUCUCCAGUCAACACUAUUUGUGAGUUCAACCCUGCUUGUGCCGAUACACUUGACUCCAAUCUUAAUUGAAUAGGAUGUCAGUUUUCAGAUAUAAGGAUAGUGGUUUUCUCUGUGCACUCUGGCUUCCUCCACCAAUAAAAACUGGUCUCAUGAAAUAGCCAAAAAACAGUACUUAAAAGUGGUAUUAAAACACAGAAAAUCCAAAACUAAAAAAAUAAUAAUGGGUAAAAUUUAGAAAGUGUUAAAAGAGACAACAACCAAACCAAAAAGCAGAAUACAAACCAAGGACACCAAUUGGUCUCCAGCUGAGGCCCACCUCCCGAACCUGAACCUGUAAUAUCCAUAUACUAGUCACACUAAACUCUGAAACAUAUAAAUGAAUGGAAAUUUAAACAAACAUGCAUGACUAACAAAGGGACAUGUUAUUUUUUGUGUGAACUAGAAUGGUAUCGAUUUCUCCUCAGUGUGUUGAAUUAUGGUUCUUACUUGCAUCCCAUUUUAAUGUUCAAGUCCUGAAUACACAUUUUAAUGUUCAAGUCCUGAGUACACAUUUUAAUGUUCAAGUCCUGAAUACACAUUUUAAUGUUCAAGUCCUCAAUACACAUUUUAAUGUUCAAGUCCUGAGUACACAUUUUAAUGUUCAAGUCCUGAGUACACAUUUUAAUGUUCAAGUCCUCAAUACACAUUUUAAUGUUCAAGUCCUGAAUACACAUUUUAAUUUCAAGGACUUUUGAAAGAAGAAAGUAAUGUGAAUACAAAUUGUUGUGAAAAUAUAAAACUUUGAUCUUUUCUUAUACAAAUAUGUCAUCAAGGAUAUUUAAGAAAAAACUUUUUUUUUUUUUCAUGAAAAUAAGUUUUUUUAGUUAUAGUAUUACCAGAAUGUCAAGAAAUAUUUUAUUAUUAAUGAUACAUUUCUCUGCCUUUACAUCUUCUAUUUACUUUUCAAACAAUUGUUUUGUAGAUAGGACAGAGUAAGAGUGUAGUACCGUGGGGAUGUUUUCCAUCGAGGUCAGGGCAGGUAACCAGACAGAUGCAUGCUUGGGAUUUGCUGAUCAAAUUUUAUGAAAUGAAGGUGAGUAUCUUUUUAUGGCCCCACAACGAAGUUGUCGGUGCCACAUAGUUUUACCCUUGUCCGUCAUUCCGCAACAAACCAUUAUACAGAGUUUUUUUCUAAACGUCCACAGAUAUUGGGGUGAUUUUUAUACGACUGCAAAAGAUUUAAUUUUUGUCGUAAAUUGCUAUCACGUUGGCGUCGUCGUCGUCGUCUUGCGUUGUCGUCGUCCGAAUACUUUUAGUUUUCGCACUCUAACUUAAGUAAAAGUGAAUAGAAAUCUAUGAAAUUUUAACACAAGGUUUAUGACCACAAAAGGAAGGUUGGGAUUGAUUUUUGGAGUUUUGGUCCCAAUAUUUUAGGAAUUAGUGGCCAAAAAGGGGCCCAAAUAAGCAUUAUUCUUGGUUUUCGCACCAUAACUUUAGUAUUAGUAAAUAGAAAUCUAUGAAAUUUAAACACAAGGUUUAUGACCAUAAAAGGAAGGUUGGGUUUGAUUUUGGGAGGUUUGAUCCCAACAGUUUAGGAAUAAGGGGCCCAAAGGGUCCAAAAUUGAACUUUGUUUGAUUUCAUCAAAAAUUGAAUAAUUGGGGUUCUUUGAUAUGCCGAAUCUAACUGUGUAUGUAGAUUCUUAAUUUUUGGUCCCGUUUUCAAAUUGGUCUACAUUAAGGUUCAAAGGGUCCAAAAUUAAACGUAGUUUGAUUUUAAAAAAAAUUGAAUCCUUGGGGUUCUUUGAUAUGCUGAAUCUAAAAAUGUACUUAGAUUUUUGAUUAUUGGCCCAGUUUUCAAGUUGGUCCAAAUCGGGGUCCAAAAUUAAACUUUGUUUGAUUUCAUCAAAAAUUGAAUAAUUGGGGUUCUUUGAUAUGCCAAAUCUAACUGUGUAUGUAGAUUCUUAAUUUUUGGUCCCGUUUUCAAAUUGGUCUACAUUAAAGUCCAAAGGUUCCAAAAUUAAACUAAGUUUGAUUUUAACAAAAAUUGAAUUCUUGGGCUUUUUUGAUCUGCUGAUUCUAAACACAUACUUAGAUUUUUGAUUAUGGGCCCAGUUUUCAAGUUAGUUCAAAUCAGGAUCCAAAAUUAUUAUAUUAAGUAUUGUGCAAUAGCAAGAAAUUUUCAAUUGCACAGUAUUCAGCAAUAGCAAGAAAUCUUCAAUUGCACAGUAUUGUGCAAUAGCAAGCAAUUUUCAAUUGCACAGUAUUGCGCAAUAGCAAGAAAUCUUCAAUUGCACAGUAUUGUGCAAUAGCAAAUAUUUUCAAUUGCACUGUAUUGCGCAAUAGCAAGAAAUAUCUAAUUGCACAAUAUUGUACAAUAGCAAGAAAUUUUCAAUUGGAGUUAUCUUCCUUUGUCCAGAAUAGUAGUUGAAUCAAUUUAAAUCAUUGUUUUAUACAAUAUACAAUGUAUAUUCACUUUUACUACCAACUGAUAAAUUAAAACAAUCUUUACCAUUCAGUGAUAACAAGCACUUUAUUUUACAUUUUAAUAUUUUAUGAUGUAUUUAAAUGAGUAGUUAUUGUUGCAAACUCCAUUAAGAAUUUGAAUUGAGAUCAGUUUUGGAAAAAGGGAAAGGGGGAUGUGAAAAAAAAAUGAGGGGGGGGGGGGGGGUUAAAUUUUUCUCAUUUCAGAUUUCACAAAUAAAAAGAAAAUUUCUUCAAACCUUUUUUUGAGAGGAUUCAUAUUCAACAGCAUAGUGAAUUGCUCAAAGGCAAAAAAAAUAUUUUAAGUUCAUUAGACCACAUUCAUUCUGUGUCAGAAACCUAGAUGCUGUGUCAACUAUUUAAUCACAAUCCAAAUUUAGAGCUGAAUCCAGCUUAAAUGUUGUGUCCAUACUUGCCCCAACUGUUCAGGGUUCAACCUCUGCGGUCGUAUAUAGCUGCACCCUGCGGAGCAUCUGGUUGAUAUGUGGGUUAACCAUGAAGAGUUACAGAUCAAGUUUAAGUUUCGUUCCACUCCACUAAUUUUUGCAGAAAUUACGGGCUUUGGACUUUGAUAAAUUGUUGAAAAUCACAGUUAUACAGACAUUUUUCCUAAACACUUUCAGAUAUUGGGGUGAUUUUUAGUAUGUGAGUUAAUCAUGCUGAGUUACAAAUCAAGUUGAAGUUUUGUUCGGCUCCGCUUAAUUUUGCCAAAUUACAGGCUUUGGACUUUGAUAAAUUGUUGAAAUCACAGUUAUACAGAUUUUUUUUCUAAAAGCUUUCAGAAAUUGGGCAAUUUUUGGUAUGUAAGUUACCCUAGGCCUUGUUACAGAUCAAGUAUAAGUUUUGUUUUGCUCGGCUAAUUUUUGUCGAAAUUAUGGGCUUUGGACUUUGAUAAAUUGUUGAAAAUCACAGUUAUACAGACUUUUCUUUACGCCUUCAGAUUUUGAGUUGAUUUUUGAUAUGUGACACUACCAUCAUGUUUGUGUCCACAUGUGUUAUUGAAAUUGGCAUUUUCAACUUUUUGAGACAGGGCCAAUCGUGUCGAUUCGACACAUCUAGUUUUCUUAUUACAAUAAGGAUUUAAAAUCUGAGUUGUACAGCUUUAUAAAGAAUUUGAAUUGAUAGAAUUAGUGUCAAGUGAUUACAAGCUCUAUUUUUAUGCCCCAUGAUAUGAUAGUAGAGGGACAUUAUGUUUUCUGGUCUGUGCCUCCGUUCAUUUGUUCGUCCUUCCGUCCGUGCGUCCAUUCACCCCACUUCAGGUUAAAGUUUUUGGUCAUGGUAGUUUUUGAUGAAGCUGAAGUCCAAUCAACUUGAAACAUACUACACUUGUUGCUUAUGAUAUGAUCUAUCUAAAUUUAAGGCCAAAUAAGACUUUUGACCCCAAUUUCACGGUCCACUGAACAUAGAAAAUGAAAGUGGGAGUUUCAGGUUAAAGUUUUUGGUCAAGGUAGUUUUUGAUGAAGCUGAAGUCCAAUCAAAUUGAAACUUACUACACUUGUUGCUUAUAAUAUGAUCUUUCUAAUUUUAAGGCCAAAUUAGACUUUUGACCCCAAUUUCACGGUCCACUGAACAUAGAAAAUGAAAGUGGGAGUUUCAAGUUAAAGAUUUUGGUCAAGGUAGUUUUUGAUGAAGUUGAAGACCAAACAACUUGAAACUUAGUACUAAUGUUUCCUAUAUUUUUUAUCCAAUUUCACGGUCCAUUGAACAUGGAAAAUGAUAGUGCCAGUGGGGCAUCCAUGUACUUAGGACACAUUCUUGUUUUAUUUACUUAAGCUGGAUUUGACACUUUUUUCAUCUUCAAAUUUUCAAUGCUCAUUACUUUUGUUAUUAGUAAUUUAAAAAAGCAGGGGUAUACUGUUUUACGUCUGUCUGUCCGUCCAUACAUCCAUCCAUCUCAUGAAUAUUUUUGUCACAUCUUUCAGUGUUCUCCCCAGGCCGUUUUAGCGUCGCGGUACCCAGACGCUAUAUUUUUUCACCGUGAUGCUAUAAUAAUUCCCGCAACGCUAUAAUUAUUUUGAAGAUGCUAUUUUACCUGUCCUCAAACUUUCAUCUAUUAUCGAUUAUGAUCAUAAAAAUUAUAUCACCUUUAAUUGUAAUCCCUUUAAGUCGGACACUAAAGGCAAUUAAGAGAUUAAAUAGCCAGGUUUUAAUUGCCCUCAGGGUGAUAACUGUUUGGAUGCGAAUAUCCCAAGCUGACACUUGUGACAUUACUAAACCACGUCUCUGCAAUCACCAAUUUCGACAUGGAAAAAUGCAAUCACAAAAACAAUUUGAAAUCUAUGUUUUGUAUUAUGAAAUUUCGAAGAUUAAAACAAUUUUUUUUUUUAAAAGGUCGUUUAUUUGUACAACUCUCCAAAAAAUACUUUCUUUCUCUUCCGGUAAUCCGAGAGCGAGAAUUUUGGUUUUGAGCUAAAAUCAAUUUUUAUACUUCUUUAAAAAGUGAUCAUAAUUGGCUUAAGUUUAUGUUUAAUUCAUUUAAUGCAUUAAAAGCGUCUUAUUCAUUCACAAUCUCUUGUCAAACAAUGUUUAAUCUGGGACUCAUUUUCGUAAAUGUUUCUACGGCCGCCAUUGCACAUUUUUGUGUAAACUACGGAUUGGUACCGGACCAGAUAUGACAAAAAUCCGCAUUUUCACGAUGACAACAGACGGACGGUAGACAAAAAUAUACCAAUAGAGAAAACUACGCAUUAAUAGACUAUUUGUUAGAUAACUUUGUUGAACAGGUCGGAACCACUACCUUAUAUGGAAAUGCAUAAAUUAGCAUACUUAUGUACUCACACCUGUAAUUGUUUAUUUACAUGUGACGCAAUUUAUUUUUACUUAGGUUUUUGACCAAUCCACUAAAUGAGUCACAAUGCAUGAUGGACUACUACGUGUUUACAAUCAACCAAGAACACGUGUUAUUUACUGAAAUACAACACAUUUUUUCGUGCAAUGCGGGAUUCACAAUUUCGCUUAGUUUUUCAUUUUGUGUAUCCUCAUUUAUAGUUCGUGAUAUAAAGUAUUAAUUCCAUGCUCAGAUUAACUAAGAGUUGUUUCUAUGUGAAGAAAAAAAGGGUUUGAAUUACCCAAUAUAUAGCCAUUUACAUGUUUGAUGAUGGCACAGAAAUUUCAUGUGUUUGUCCACCAGAUGCAACGAAACAACAGCGAAAAACACAAUUACCCAUGAGACAAACUUACUGGUGUAAAGUAAGCCGUUGAUAACAGCCGGUGCUGAUAUUCAAGAGUACAGCAAUGUUCGUGGCAAAUGUGGGAUCCUUGAAUUUUGUGUUCGUAAAAAAAGAAAAGAAAUAUUUACAUACAUGGCAGUGUUAACAAAAUUCAUAAGUAUUUUUGUAGGUCACAUUUCAGUAUAUGGGACUUCCAAACUGUUCCCUUUUUUUUUGAAGGUAGUGAAGUCAGCAACUGUGUUUCAGUUUGUUCGUUUUUAACGGGCUCGGACAUUUGCCAAACUGAAUAAAAUCAUUACAGCUGAUUUCUUAAACCUGCAAAGUAAAACUUUGGUUGGCUUGCUUGCUUUGUUUGUAUAGUUGUUUAUACAAGCUUUGAAACUAAGAUUGACAUCUUUAAACAAUAUAUAUAUAGGCAUAGUUUAACUUGUAUAUUUUAUAUUUUGUACAAUAUACAAAAAAGCAAGCAAGAUAACCAAAGUUUUGCUCCACAUGCAUAAGAAAUAAGCUGUAAUGAUUUUAUCAAUAUGUAUGUGCGACAAGGUGGAAAAUUUGCUAUGUUUUGUGAAAAUUGCAGCGUUGGAUCUAUAAUAAAAAAGAAGAUGUGGUAUGAUUGCCAAUGAGACAGCUGUCCACAAGAGAACAAAAUGACACAGAAAUUAACAUUUAUAGAUCACCGUAUGGCCUUCAACAAUGAGCAAAGCCCAUACCGCAUAGUCAGCUAUAAAAGUCCCCGAUAUGACAAUGUAAAACAAUUCAAACGAGAAAACUAGCGGCCUUAACUAUAUAAAAAAAAAUGAACGAAAAACAAAUAUGUAACACAUAAACAAACGACAACCACUGAAAUACAGGCCCCUAUACAAUAUAUAUUUUUUUGAUGGGAUAGAUUUCUUGUCCUUUUAUAUAUUUAAUUGGGCCGUUUUUUUUUGUUAGGAUUGUUUUACACAAGUAUUUUUUGGGUCAUUAAUAGCUUACUUUUCAGUAUUGGACCUAUGACUGAUUACUUUACUAAAUUAUGUCUUUGUUGGAAAGAUGUCUCAUUUGGCACUCGUACCUCAUCUUCUUAUUUCUAUAUACAAAGCACGUUUUAGAAAAAAAAAUAAUAGGUAAUAUGGCACCCACUAUGAUCCAGAGACUUUUAAUAUUUGAAAUAUUUUACAUAUGUCAACAGGACAGCAGCCGAAUGAUAAAAACCUCUGAGGUAUAUUUUGUGAUAAAAUUAGCAACAAACAGAUAUUAUCGAUGGAUGAAUUUAAACUAUAAAAAAAUGUAUUGAGCUAUAUACCGUACCCGCUCAGUGGCGGAUCCAGGGGGGGCGGGGGUUCCGGGGGAUGGACCCCCUUUUUUGGACGAUCAGUGCAUUUGGAUGGGGACAUGUAGUUGGAACCCCUCCCUUUUUGUCCAGGGUUAGGAUCCCCCUUUUUAAAAUGGCUGGACCCGCCCCUGCCGCUUUCAUAACACUUCUUUUUAGCAUACUGAAUAUUAUGAUGUUCUUACUAUUAGUUCAGGUCCUGAUAAAAAAAAAAUACACAUUCAGUACAGAAAGAAGUGUUUCAAUGAAAGUUUCAUGUUUUUCUAGGCAGAAAUGAUUUUGCAAUGACAUUAUACAGGUUUAAAAGAGCUCAAAUGAUUUUCUUACUGGACAGUGGUCACUUCAUUGGAUAUUUCACUGUGUCAUGUCGUGAAAUUAAUGCAGGUUCAAUUUAUAACAAUGCACAAAACCGGUUCAACUACUUUUGCAAGGCGAAAAAGAAAGUCGAAUCGUGAAGCCAAUAAACAAUAUUUUUUUAAUCUGAGCAUGCAAAUUGAAGAUUACGUUAUAUAUUUUACAUUAAAUAUAUUUGCAGAAUAAAAACUUUGGUAAUGAGAGUCCCAGACAAUAUAUUAAUUGACUGUUUUCCCACUAAUUCCACGUGUUUUAAGUAGUAGUUUACUCGUAGUAGCCCACAAUGCAUUGUAGUUCAUUGAGUCGAUUGGUCAGUUUUUCAAGGCCAUAUUGGCCUUGUGUUUUGGAAAUUAAUAUGCAAAUAUAUUCUGACGUCAGAAAAUCUAGAGUUCUCGACCUGUUGAAAAUACGUAUCAUUUUGAUGUAAAGAUAAGAAACAACAGGGACUAAUUCAUUCAGUGCCAUGAAACAAUGAAUUUCAUAAACAUGAUAAAAAAAAGUUUUUAAAUUGAUAUUUUUUUUUGCUACUUUUGCUUCUUUAUCUUGACUUAAUAUAAUAUAAAAAAAAUAGUUAAUUUUGUGUACUAGAUAUUUAGUUUUGUAUAAAUACAGGUUGCACUAUAAUGAACCAUUCAUUCAUUUGACUUAUUGUUGGGUAACUGAAAGCACAUAUUUAUUCUUAUUUGGCACAAGAGGAAAAAAAUAAUUCUGUAACUAUAAAUGAAUAAAUAAAACAUAAACUGAAACAACUGUUUUUGUUGUUAUAGUUUAAUUGUAUUCUCAGUUAUGAAUUGAACAAUAUAAACUAAAACAUAUAAAGGAAAUAGAGCAGCAACGCGACGCGACAAAUGACAUUAGUUAUUUUUUUUUACGCAAAAUGUGAUGCUAUCCAAAAUUUCUGGGGAGAACACUGAUCUUUCUCAGGAACUACAUCAUGAAAACUUUUAAAAUUUAGUUUCAGGGUUUAUAUAAGUGAGCUAUACCGUGUGAUGCGUUGACAGAUUCAUCACUCAACAACUCCGAACACCUAAAUUUUUUAACACUAUUAAAAUUAUACAGUUGCGUCUGGGGUAUCAUCAGUGAGCAGUAGCUAACAGUCUCACUUGUUUAAUCUUUAUUUAAAACAAGUUCAUAUGAGUGCUAUGUAGAUAUAAUGCUUAUAUAACCAUUUAAUUAACAAUGAAACUUUCAGCUGACUUUUACAGAAUUAUCUCCUUUUAGUGUAAUGGACCACCUUAAAGGGGCACUAGCUGUCAAAUCCAUGUUCACCGAUUUUAAUCAAAUUCUCAUGUUUGAUUAAUAACAAUGUAAAACAUUUAUCCAAACUAUUAACAGUCUAAAAUAAACAAUUAACAGUCACGGGCAAAAAAAAUUGUAGCUUCGUUUCGUGUGAUUUUUAUUCUAGACGCCAUCUAAUUAACUAUCGAGUUGACCUCUAAAGUCAUCUGAUGACCAUAUAAGCGAUGUAAACAUAAAUAAGAUAAAAAUAAAUUAAGCAAACUAGUGCUGUUGGAUUUUUCUAUGUCUAUUUAAUUUCAUAUUAUUGAUGAAAAAUAAAUGUUUAUCAUAGUCUUUACCUGUUUAAGAAUGAUGUUUUGUGGAUCGAAUCUGUCAAUAAAAUGAUCUACCUUUGUUUCACUUUCAAUGUUGACAUUAUUUUCCUUUAAAUAACUUUACACAUACAACUCAUGUGUUAUCAAUCUCAAGCAAGUGGGUUAAAUUGAAGUUCACAUGAAAACAGAUUCAAUGAGGUUUAUAUAUCUCGUAGCUACCCUUUAAGUUGUCUGCAGUUUAUUUACAUAAGGGAAGUCCAAAGUUUUAAAUAUAAGUGCCAUUAUUUUCUUGUGGAAGUUGUUUACAGUACUUCUCAAUAAAUUUCCUUUUGAUAAUGUACUAUGAAUUCAUUAAUAUUCGUUGGAUACCAAUUUUCGUGGAUUUCGUGGGUACAGGGAAACCAUGAAUUUAAAUAUUUAACGAAUUGCAAAUUUUCUAAAGGAAUGUAUGCAGACUUUGCCAAAACCACGAAAUUAGAUAUCCACGAAUAUGCAAGUUUUCCUCAAACCACAAAAAUUGGUACCCACGAAACUACAUGAAUCCACAUUAUGUGUGUUUACUGUUACAUGUGUGUAGGUAGGUACCUUACAUGAAGUAUGGAAUUUUUAAUUUAAUUUUUUUUUUUAUUACAUUAAGUCUAUGGGAACAACAUUGCGACUUAAACAGUACUUAAUAAAAAAUGGUCAAAAACUUUUAGGGUAGGGGAUAAAACUUUAGCAUAGGUAGGGUUACAGAAAACACAUAUACUUUAUUUUUGCCGUUGUAUCUAGUGUUUAAUGUAGAUAAACAUACAUAUUUAUUGUUAUUUCAGCAUGGUAAAGAAUACAAUGAAUCGCCUGCCAGAAUGUUGUCUCAGUCAUUCCACUUAGAUAUCGUGGGAGGGAAAGCCAUUACUGCCAAACAGACAUUACUUGGUGCAAUAGAUACAGUCAUCUCAUCUCAUACUCCACUCAAACGCACAGAAGAUUCUCAUUUUAAAGCUAUUAUCUCACUUGCAUUGAAGUAAGUCACUCAAACGCACAGAAGAUUCUCAUUUUAAAGCUCUUAUCUCAUUUGCAUUGAAGUAAGUCACUCAAACGCACAGAAGAUUCUUAUUUUAAAGCUCUUAUCUCAUUUGCAUUAAAGUUAAUAAAAUAAAAGCACAAAAGACUCUCAUUUUAACGCUUUCAACUUGUAUUAUUAAAAAAAGUCACAUAAACACACAAAAAAUUCUCAUUUUAAAGCUAUUAUCUCACUUGCAUUUAAUUAGGUCACACAAACAUACAGUAGAUUCUCAUUUAUAAAAGCUUUUGUCUCACUUGCAGUAAAGUUAGUAUAAAAAAACGCACAGAAGACUCAUUAUGAAGCUUUUGUCUCUUGUUAUUAAGAUAGUAGAUUAAACGCAUGGAAGAUUCUAAUUUUAAAGCUCUCUUACAAUAUAUUGACAAUACUGUUCUAUUUUACAGUGAAAGGAAACUUCCAACAUGGUUAAAGUUAUUAUUCCGUACACAGAGUUUAAUAGACAAUUAUUACCAAGACUGGAGCUACGUUGCCAGAACAGGUUUGUACAUUCAUACAAUUGACUGACUUAAAAUAUCAUUUUUACUCAAUUUCUAAAAAAGUGAUCUGUAAAAGUUAGAAUAUGUCACUUUUGAGGCAUAAGUUCAAAUCUGAAUUAUUUUACUGUAAAUUCUGAAUUGUGAUUUUUUUUUAUUAUUGUGAACAGAUUUUUUGAAGAAAAAAAAAUUACAUUUAAUUCUGAUUUCUUUUUUUGUGUGCAGCACUCCCUGCAUUUUGUGUCCAUUGUUUGCAGUAAUGAAUGCAUGUCAAAACUUCUGACUUUAAAAUCACUUCCUCCUUGUAUAUAAAAUUUAACAAAAUACUAAGGGAUAAUAAGACAGUACCUUGAUCUAUAAUGGUUUACUUUUAUAAAUUAUGACUUUGCUGGAGAGUUGUCUCAUUGGCACUUGUACCACAUCUUCUUAUAUCUUUUUAUAUUAUAUUUUCUAUAUUUUUAGGUUUUGAUGAUGCUAUCAAGGCUCUCGACAGAUUAAACAAUAUCAACUUCAGACUCCCUGUAGAUUUGGCCGUCAGACCGUUUAGUAACAUCAAAGAUGCAUUCUAAUCACAGACAUUAUAUGUAUUGUCAUAAUAUUAUGUCGGUAGUACAUAAGGAUGUUCGCUACUCUGUUUUAAAAUAACAACAAGCUUUUUAAAAGACUGUAAUAAAUGGACAUAAUAUAAAUAAUGGAACUAAAAUUGAAGAAGAAAAUGUUGAGUCUGUGUCCUUUUAAGCCAUUGAAAAUUUGGCGGGAAAUUAUUCUCUCUAUAUUGUUCAUACAUUUAAAAUUGGGACAAUUUUUCUUUCAAAAGUACAGAAAAAAAACAAGGAUCUGAUAUGAUUUUCAAAUAUGGCUUUUUUAAUGAUUUGUUAUAAAAUUCUGUUAAAAAAACUAAGGGUAAAUAAGCAGGCAAAAUGUUUAAUGGCAUAACAUGGAUAAAACCAGAGGAUUCUGAAUAUCUGGACAAAAAUAUUCAAAACAAGAGUAGAGAACAUCCUUAAGUAUUUGCAAAGCCAAUAGAAAUAUGUGUUGACGGUCAUGUGACCAAAUCAGCAGGUUUUGAACCAUGACUAAAAAUGAAAGGAUAGACUAAUCAAGGUAUUGAAUUUACAAAUGUGGUUGGAAACAUAUAUAUUUAUUUUUGGGUCAAAGGGUAGGUUUUUAGGCAUAUGAAAUACAAAUUUUAUAGGCAGUGGUUGGGUCUGAAGUUAAGCCCUAUGAUAAAAUUAGAUCUUCAAGUAUUAUUGAAAAAUGAAGAUUGUUCCAUGUUCUUCUUUUUCUGAUAAUGAAAUUAUGAAAAAAAUAGUAGAGGUUAGGAGGGAAAAUCCUUAAAUGGCACGACAUGGAUAAAACCAUAGGAAUUUGAAAAUCUGACAAAAAGUCACAAGCAUGAUCAGUUAAUACCCAUAAGCCAAAAUGUAUUUUGUAAUUUUUCUUCUAAACAGUUGUUUGCUUUAAUAAUUCCAAAAUCCCAUUUUUGGUAUAAAUCUUGUACAUGUUACUCAAGGGAGACAAUUACAAGUUUCGUCUGCUUUUCUUCAGACUUUUUGUCAUGUUGUUCAGUCUUUGAAAUAUACUACUUAAAUUUUUCAUUUACAUUCCAUAUUUCAUUUUAAUUUAUUUUUACUGCAAAUUCCAAUGUUUUUACAUUUUAAUGUAAUUUCCGAUAUUUUUGCAUGAGGGCUAUUCCAGAAAAAAAUGUAUGGGGGGGUUGGAAGGCAGUUUUUGUCAGCACCGGCCACCCAGACAAUUGUAAUUGAGAAUUAUAGUGCAUUAUAGUGUGAAAAGUUGCUCUGAUACCCAUCACCCAUGUAUUAUUAAUACAAUGUGCCUUCCAACCCCCCCAUACAUUUUUUUCUGGAAUAGCCCUGAAAUGAUAAGUGGGAAAUUUUUGUAACUGCUUUAUUUUGGCUGAUUUCCUCUGUAUGAUGAAAUUCAAAAUCAAAAUUACUAUUCUGUAAAUUAUUUCUGUUAUCAGAUUCCACCCAGAAAUCAUGAAAUUUAAACUUCUCAAAAUUUGAAACAGCAUAGAAAUUAAAAUCAUGUGGAACAUAAGAGGCACUUUUUCUAGAUCCUCUUACCCAGAACAUAAAACUUUCUAUUUUCUAAGAAUUUUAACAAAAUUAUAAGGAAAAUUCAACACAUAAUUAAUAAAUUUGAAUACCUCCCAUUUCUCCAAGGAUCAAUUUUUGAACAGCCCAAGGCAACUUUUGGGGCUCGAUUAUAUAUCUCUAAAUGAAGAAAUGGCAAUUUUAAUUGUCACUUUAAACAAAAAGAUUGAUAAAUUAAAACCUGCAUUAGUAUUAUAAUUUAAAGUUUAUUCCCAAAAUUUCAUUUGUCAUAUCGUUACAUAAUUCCAUUUUUUUUUAAUUGUCUGAGUUGUAUAUAUAAUGAAAAUUCAUUCCAGUGGACUUUUUUCAUUCAAGUGGAUUUCUUUCAUUCCAGUUCUUUAAUUCCAAGAGGGUCCAUUUGAAAAAUAAUUCUGAACAUAAGAAAUCCAUACUUUUACAUUUGUAUAUAUAUAUGUAAUUUUACAAAUCACAGGUUGUUGGGGAAAUAUUAAAAAAGUUGUGAUAUAUUUAAUAUGAUUUUGUAAAAAUUAUCUUCUUUUGUUAUUAUGUAUAUAUUAUACAUACCCCAUUUUCGUUAUGUAUUAUUAUAUAUGUGAUUUUGUUUUGUUAUGUUUAAAAUAUUGAAAUCCAUUUAUUAUUUUUCUUGAUAUUAUGAAACUGUUUUUUUAAGUGCAAUUGAAGUACUGUUAUUUCCUUUGAUUGAGCUAUAGUGUAUCUUGGCUAUGCAAUUGAAGGGAAUAACUAGCCAGGCAAUAUUUAUUUACAUAAGUUUAUUUAUAUAUCUAUCUAUUUUCUUGUUUAUUUUAUUCUUUGAAUCCAAUAAUGUGAAAUCCAGGUAAUUUUUGUUGUGUUGUCCAUUUAUUUAUUAAAUGGUCUAAUGAUUUAUUCUUUUACGCUGCCAUGUAUUUGUAUAUACAUGUAGAUGGAACUCCCGAUUUUUGUCGACAUUACUGUAAAUUCAGAAUUUAUUGCAAUGUCUUGUCCUGAACAUGCAUGAAAUAUUUGCCACUGGACAUUAAGAAACCAACAAUCAAACAAUAAAUGCAAUGACUCUAUUAUUGCGAAAAAUGCGACAAUUUAAAUUCGCCUUUUAAAAAAAAAAAUUGAUUUAAACAAGAUUUUUCGCAAUAAUGCAAACAUCAAAAAUGACAAAAGCAGAAAGAAAAUGCGUUCAAUAAUUUCUGGAUUUACAGUUCUUUCAGUUUGGUUAUAAUCAUUAAGAUGUGUCUAGAAAAUAUGGUGUAGGACCUAGGACCCUUAUGCGACUUUAUAUGGAUUUAUGUAGAGAUCUUGAUUGACCACAGAUACAAUUUCAUUAUAAACACAUGUUGAGAAAAUUUCCAGUCUUCAAUGAUUUUCUUAUAAAUAUUCUAAGCUUAUGUUAAUAACUUAAUUUGAACAAUUUUGAAUCUAAAGUAAUCUCCCUUUAGCAAGAGUUUCCAACCUAGAUUUUGAAUUGUAUGAAUGAUGAAUUGUUUUUUAAAGCCAAGAAAAUGGUUAUUUUACAGUUUCAAGUUCACAAAUAUUACUUCUCUUGCCAUUAAAAAUGUGCACAUAUAUAAAAUCUCAAUUUUCUGAAUUAGUUGCACAAAUUAACCAGAGGUGAUUUAGUGUUAAUGACAUCUUUUAGCAAUUCCUUCUUACUAUGACGUAAUAACAUGAAAUGUUGGGGAAAGUGCAUUGUGAGUCAUCUAAAUUCACAUGUAUAUCAUUAUGUUUAAAUUGUUUAUUGUAAAGGUUCUUUGUGUUAUUGGUAUGUUAUCAAUACUGGUAAUAAGUGAACAUUUAUUUACAUAUUUAAUUCCAUAGGAGGUUGUGAAAUCUUACUUGCAGUCUUCACGCUGAACUGCUAAAUCUACAGGCCCGCAGCUCAAUUUUUGAAAAUUUUUAGUUAGAUUCUGUUGGCCUGUAGGUCUAAUUUUUACAGGCCCGAGAGCAAUUUUACCAGCCUGGGCUGCCACUCCGCGUGAAGACUGUACUUGUAUUGUUUUAUUGACAAUACCUCUUUACUGUGGAUUCAACUAUUUUCCUGGGUAACAAUUUGCCUGGAUUUAGUAAAAAAAUGUAUUUUUAUGGAUAUUUGAUUAGUAUCCUUGCCAAAGACGUCUGUUUCCAAACCUAUAUGAUAUUUAAACUUUGUUGAACACCUAAAUUCCCUGUUCAUCUAUAUCUAUAAAAUUGGUAAUCCACAAAUAAUAAAUCCACAGUAUUAUUGUUUAUUUUUUAUUUUAUCUUAUUUGAUGAAAAAAAGUAACUUUUGAAUAGAAAAGCAUAAUCUCUUAAGGCUCAUUUAAUUUUCAUAAAAUUUUGACAAAGUAUUUACUUUGACCUUUUAACCAAAAUAUAUAAAUUUCGAAAAAUUUUGAACCAACCAUUUUAUCAGAAAUAUUACACUGGUUAUAUAGCAGUUUGACAAACACCAAUUUUGAUCAUUGAGAAGCUUAAUAUCCCUUUUACAACACAACGUAAUUAAAACGUUAAGCUGAUUUUACAGAGUUAUCUCCCUGUAGGGUUAGGUACCAAGACCAAAAAAACUAAAAGUGGUUAACUUUUUAAAGAAGACCAUGAAACUAAGUAUCCCCCAUGAAACUAAGUAUCCCACAAGCAAAUACUGAUGAAUCCACAGUGGAUUAGACUUGAGUUGAAUCUCCUGUUGACAAUUAUUGUUGAUGUUGCAUUUAUGUCAUGAAUACGAUAUCUAAUAAAUUAUUUCAGCAUGUAA
This 35525-nucleotide long non-coding RNA is filed under the name Mytilus galloprovincialis (Mediterranean mussel). Lineage: Eukaryota; Metazoa; Mollusca; Bivalvia; Mytilida; Mytilidae. The record is from RNAcentral.